Molecule: long non-coding RNA, 635 nt
Filed under: Cairina moschata (Muscovy duck)
Lineage: Eukaryota; Metazoa; Chordata; Aves; Anseriformes; Anatidae
Description: domestica (muscovy Duck (domestic type)) lncRNA (ENSCMMG00000017285.1)
Source: RNAcentral
UUUUGAUUUCGUUUUUCAUUUUCUCUCUUUCUUUCUCACUCUUUCUCUCUUUCUCUCUAACUUCUUUUAUAUAUCUAUAAAAAAUGGAAAAUGCAGUGACUGUGUGAUUUUCACAACAUCUUUACUUAUAGUAUAUUCAUUUCAGUCAUAGGAAGCUUAGCAGGGAAAUAGGAAUUUCAUCUGGUUGGUAGGAAGAAUACCUACUUGGUAUUCAGGGGAGUUCAAGUUCAGGGAGUUUAAUGGGAGCAGCCCAUUCAGCAGGAAAGUAAUCUUUGAUGUGUAGGUACAGUAGUUCAGUGCUCUGACACUACAUUUGCUGGACUGGAGACAGAGCAUGUGAGCUGUGCUGAGAUCUUGGAUGUUCCUGAUACUUCAAAGUGGCAUAGAAAGAAGAAAAUAAACGAAAGAGAACUGAAUUCUUCGGGUGUUGUGACCCUGACUGGUGCUGGGGGAUAGAGGAAGAUAAACACAGCUUUGCUGGUGGGGAAGAGGCCAACUGCAACCCUCCAUCCCUUCAGGGGGUUUCACCAGAGAGGAAGAAUUUCACAAGGAAUAGGUUGAAAUAAAAUUAAUUUCCAGCCUCACAGACAGGUGCAGCAAACCAUUUCCCAGUUUAGUUUAGUUAAAGGCAAGAG